This 607-nucleotide ribosomal RNA is filed under the name unidentified microorganism. Its description in RNAcentral is "bacterial SSU rRNA". It matches the Rfam family "Bacterial small subunit ribosomal RNA", at positions 51 to 653 of the family's 1533-position model. The record is from RNAcentral.
ACACAUGCAAGUCGAACGGCAGCACGGGGGCAACCCUGGUGGCGAGUGGCGAACGGGUGAGUAAUAUAUCGGAACGUGCCCUGGAGUGGGGGAUAACUAGUCNAAAGACUAGCUAAUACCGCANACNAUCUANGGAUGAAAGUGGGGGAUCGCAAGACCUCAUGCUCGUGGAGCGGCCGAUAUCUGAUUAGCUAGUUGGUGGGGUAAAAGCCUACCAAGGCAUCGAUCAGUAGCUGGUCUGAGAGGACGACCAGCCACACUGGGACUGAGACACGGCCCAGACUCCUACGGGAGGCAGCAGUGGGGAAUUUUGGACAAUGGGGGCAACCCUGAUCCAGCAAUGCCGCGUGAGUGAAGAAGGCCUUCGGGUUGUAAAGCUCUUUUGUCAGGGAAGAAACGGUCCGGGCUAAUAUCCUGGGCUAAUGACGGUACCUGAAGAAUAANCACCGGCUAACUACGUGCCAGCAGCCGCGGUAAUACGUAGGGUGCAAGCGUUAAUCGGAAUUACUGGGCGUAAAGCGUGCGCAGGCGGUUGUGCAAGACAGAUGUGAAAUCCCCGGGCUUAACCUGGGAAUUGCAUUUGUGACUGCACGGCUAGAGUGUGUCA